ACACUCCUACGGGAGGCAGCAGUGGGGAAUAUUGCACAAUGGGCGCAAGCCUGAUGCAGCCAUGCCGCGUGUAUGAAGAAGGCCUUCGGGUUGUAAAGUACUUUCAGCGGGGAGGAAGGCGAUAAGGUUAAUAACCUUGUUGAUUGACGUUACCCGCGGAAGAAGCACCGGCUAACUCCGUGCCAGCAGCCGCGGUAAUACGGAGGGUGCAAGCGUUAAUCGGAAUUACUGGGCGUAAAGCGCACGCAGGCGGUCUGUCAAGUCGGAUGUGAAAUCCCCGGGCUCAACCUGGAACUGCAUUCGAAACUGGCAGGCUAGAGUCUUGUAGAGGGGGGUAGAAUUCCAGGUGUAGCGGUGAAAUGCGUAGAGAUCUGGAGGAAUACCGGUGGCGAAGGCGGCCCCCUGGACAAAGACUGACGCUCAGGUGCGAAAGCGUGGGGAGCAAACAGGAUUAGAUACCCCUGUAGUCCCA
RNAcentral lists this ribosomal RNA (472 nucleotides) under uncultured organism. Its description in RNAcentral is "partial 16S ribosomal RNA". It matches the Rfam family "Bacterial small subunit ribosomal RNA", at positions 333 to 797 of the family's 1533-position model. The record is from RNAcentral.